AGUGAACGCUGGCGGUAGGCCUAACACAUGCAAGUCGAACGGCAGCACAGUAAGAGCUUGCUCUUACGGGUGGCGAGUGGCGGACGGGUGAGGAAUACAUCGGAAUCUACUUUUUCGUGGGGGAUAACGUAGGGAAACUUACGCUAAUACCGCAUACGACCUACGGGUGAAAGCAGGGGAUCCUCGGACCUUGCGCGAUUGAAUGAGCCGAUGUCGGAUUAGCUAGUUGGCGGGGUAAAGGCCCACCAAGGCGACGAUCCGUAGCUGGUCUGAGAGGAUGAUCAGCCACACUGGAACUGAGACACGGUCCAGACUCCUACGGGAGGCAGCAGUGAGGAAUAUUGGACAAUGGGCGCAAGCCUGAUCCAGCCAUACCGCGUGGGUGAAGAAGGCCUUCGGGUUGUAAAGCCCUUUUGUUGGGAAAGAAAAGCAGCAGGUUAAUACCCCGCUGUUCUGACGGUACCCAAAGAAUAAGCACCGGCUAACUUCGUG
This 492-nucleotide ribosomal RNA is filed under the name uncultured bacterium. RNAcentral describes it as "partial 16S ribosomal RNA". It matches the Rfam family "Bacterial small subunit ribosomal RNA", at positions 29 to 507 of the family's 1533-position model. The record is from RNAcentral.